Molecule: non-coding RNA, 37 nt
Filed under: unclassified sequences
Description: DUF805b RNA
Rfam family: DUF805b RNA
About the family: Bacteroidetes, Chlorobi (1 example), Proteobacteria. Lineage (Flavobacteria)
Source: RNAcentral
ACCGGGAAUGCCGAAAACCGAAAUAUUAGAGUAGGCA